Molecule: ribosomal RNA, 1031 nt
Filed under: Salmonella enterica subsp. enterica serovar Cerro
Lineage: Bacteria; Pseudomonadati; Pseudomonadota; Gammaproteobacteria; Enterobacterales; Enterobacteriaceae
Description: partial 23S ribosomal RNA
Rfam family: Bacterial large subunit ribosomal RNA
Source: RNAcentral
AGUCGGUUUAAGGAUACGUUCGUUGGGUAGGGGAGCGUUCUGUAAGCCUGCGAAGGUGGCCUGUGAGGGUUGCUGGAGGUAUCAGAAGUGCGAAUGCUGACAUAAGUAACGAUAAAGCGGGUGAAAAGCCCGCUCGCCGGAAGACCAAGGGUUCCUGUCCAACGUUAAUCGGGGCAGGGUGAGUCGACCCCUAAGGCGAGGCCGAAAGGCGUAGUCGAUGGGAAACGGGUUAAUAUUCCCGUACUUGGUGUUACUGCGAAGGGGGGACGGAGAAGGCUAUGUUGGCCGGGCGACGGUUGUCCCGGUUUAAGCGUGUAGGUGUGUGUUCCAGGUAAAUCCGGUUCACUUUAACACUGAGGCGUGACGACGAGGCACUACGGUGCUGAAGCAACAAAUGCCCUGCUUCCAGGAAAAGCCUCUAAGCAUCAGGUAACAUCAAAUCGUACCCCAAACCGACACAGGUGGUCAGGUAGAGAAUACCAAGGCGCUUGAGAGAACUCGGGUGAAGGAACUAGGCAAAAUGGUGCCGUAACUUCGGGAGAAGGCACGCUGACACGUAGGUGAAGUGAUUUACUCAUGGAGCUGAAGUCAGUCGAAGAUACCAGCUGGCUGCAACUGUUUAUUAAAAACACAGCACUGUGCAAACACGAAAGUGGACGUAUACGGUGUGACGCCUGCCCGGUGCCGGAAGGUUAAUUGAUGGGGUCAGCGCAAGCGAAGCUCCUGAUCGAAGCCCCGGUAAACGGCGGCCGUAACUAUAACGGUCCUAAGGUAGCGAAAUUCCUUGUCGGGUAAGUUCCGACCUGCACGAAUGGCGUAAUGAUGGCCAGGCUGUCUCCACCCGAGACUCAGUGAAAUUGAACUCGCUGUGAAGAUGCAGUGUACCCGCGGCAAGACGGAAAGACCCCGUGAACCUUUACUAUAGCUUGACACUGAACAUUGAGCCUUGAUGUGUAGGAUAGGUGGGAGGCUUUGAAGUGUGGACGCCAGUCUGCAUGGAGCCGACCUUGAAAUACCACCCUUUAAUGUUU